GACGAACGCUGGCGGCGUGCCUAAUACAUGCAAGUAGAACGCUGAAGGAGGAGCUUGCUCUUCUGGAUGAGUUGCGAACGGGUGAGUAACGCGUAGGUAACCUGCCUGGUAGCGGGGGAUAACUAUUGGAAACGAUAGCUAAUACCGCAUAAGAGUAGAUGUUGCAUGACAUUUGCUUAAAAGGUGCAAUUGCAUCACUACCAGAUGGACCUGCGUUGUAUUAGCUAGUUGGUGGGGUAACGGCUCACCAAGGCGACGAUACAUAGCCGACCUGAGAGGGGGAUCGGCCACACUGGGACUGAGACACGGCCCAGACUCCUACGGGAGGCAGCAGUAGGGAAUCUUCGGCAAUAGACGGAAGUCUGACCGAGCAACGCCGCGUGAGUGAAGAAGGUUGUCGGAUCGUAAAGCUCUGUUGUAAGAGAAGAACGAGUGUGAGAGUGGAAAGUUCACACUGUGACGGUAUCUUACCAGAAAGGGACGGCUAACUACGUG
Molecule: ribosomal RNA, 495 nt
Filed under: uncultured bacterium
Lineage: Bacteria
Description: partial 16S ribosomal RNA
Rfam family: Bacterial small subunit ribosomal RNA
Source: RNAcentral